AGUCGACGAUGACCCCCAGCUUGCUGGGGUGAUUAGUGGCGAACGGGUGAGUAACACGUGAGUAACCUGCCCCUGACUCUGGGAUAAGCCCGGGAAACUGGGUCUAAUACUGGAUAUGCACCGUGGACCGCAUGGUCCUUGGUGGAAAGAUUUUUUGGUCAGGGAUGGACUCGCGGCCUAUCAGCUUGUUGGUGAGGUAAUGGCUCACCAAGGCGACGACGGGUAGCCGGCCUGAGAGGGUGACCGGCCACACUGGGACUGAGACACGGCCCAGACUCCUACGGGAGGCAGCAGUGGGGAAUAUUGCACAAUGGGCGAAAGCCUGAUGCAGCGACGCCGCGUGAGGGAUGACGGCCUUCGGGUUGUAAACCUCUUUCAGUAGGGAAGAAGCGAAAGUGACGGUACCUGCAGAAGAAGCGCCGGCUAACUACGUGCCAGCAGCCGCGGUAAUACGUAGGGCGCAAGCGUUAUCCGGAAUUAUUGGGCGUAAAGAGCUCGUAGGCGGUUUGUCGCGUCUGCCGUGAAAGUCCGAGGCUCAACCUCGGAUCUGCGGUGGGUACGGGCAGACUAGAGUGAUGUAGGGGAGACUGGAAUUCCUGGUGUAGCGGUGAAAUGCGCAGAUAUCAGGAGGAACACCGAUGGCGAAGGCAGGUCUCUGGGCAUUAACUGACGCUGAGGAGCGAAAGCAUGGGGAGCGAACAGGAUUAGAUACCCUGGUAGUCCAUGCCGUAAACGUUGGGCACUAGGUGUGGGGGACAUUCCACGUUUUCCGCGCCGUAGCUAACGCAUUAAGUGCCCCGCC
This 802-nucleotide ribosomal RNA is filed under the name Paeniglutamicibacter sp. Its description in RNAcentral is "bacterial SSU rRNA". It matches the Rfam family "Bacterial small subunit ribosomal RNA", at positions 60 to 873 of the family's 1533-position model. Lineage: Bacteria; Bacillati; Actinomycetota; Actinomycetes; Micrococcales; Micrococcaceae. The record is from RNAcentral.